CUAAGGGGUGUAGGAUCUUUG
Molecule: non-coding RNA, 21 nt
Filed under: Arabidopsis thaliana (thale cress)
Lineage: Eukaryota; Viridiplantae; Streptophyta; Magnoliopsida; Brassicales; Brassicaceae
Source: RNAcentral